UGGCUCAGAUUGAACGCUGGCGGCAGGCCUAACACAUGCAAGUCGAGCGGUAGAGAGAAGCUUGCUUCUCUUGAGAGCGGCGGACGGGUGAGUAAUACCUAGGAAUCUGCCUGAUAGUGGGGGAUAACGUUCGGAAACGGACGCUAAUACCGCAUACGUCCUACGGGAGAAAGCAGGGGACCUUCGGGCCUUGCGCUAUCAGAUGAGCCUAGGUCGGAUUAGCUAGUUGGUGAGGUAAUGGCUCACCAAGGCUACGAUCCGUAACUGGUCUGAGAGGAUGAUCAGUCACACUGGAACUGAGACACGGUCCAGACUCCUACGGGAGGCAGCAGUGGGGAAUAUUGGACAAUGGGCGAAAGCCUGAUCCAGCCAUGCCGCGUGUGUGAAGAAGGUCUUCGGAUUGUAAAGCAC
This 411-nucleotide ribosomal RNA is filed under the name Pseudomonas sp. DB2-22. RNAcentral describes it as "bacterial SSU rRNA". It matches the Rfam family "Bacterial small subunit ribosomal RNA", at positions 20 to 433 of the family's 1533-position model. Lineage: Bacteria; Pseudomonadati; Pseudomonadota; Gammaproteobacteria; Pseudomonadales; Pseudomonadaceae. The record is from RNAcentral.